RNAcentral lists this ribosomal RNA (447 nucleotides) under uncultured bacterium. RNAcentral's name for it is "bacterial SSU rRNA". It matches the Rfam family "Bacterial small subunit ribosomal RNA", at positions 330 to 794 of the family's 1533-position model. The record is from RNAcentral.
CCCAGACUCCUACGGGAGGCAGCAGUGGGGAAUAUUGCACAAUGGGGGAAACCCUGAUGCAGCGACGCCGCGUGAGUGAAGAAGUAUCUCGGUACGUAAAGCUCUCUCAGCAGGGAAGAAAAUGACGGUACCUGACCAAGAAGCCCCGGCUAACUACGUGCCAGCAGCCGCGGUAAUACGUAGGGGGCAAGCGUUAUCCGGAUUUACUGGGUGUAAAGGGGGCGCAGACGGCGAUGCAAGCCAGGAGUGAAAGCCCGGGGCCCAACCCCGGGACUGCUCUUGGAACUGCGUGGCUGGAGUGCAGGAGGGGCAGGCGGAAUUCCUAGUGUAGCGGUGAAAUGCGUAGAUAUUAGGAGGAACACCAGUGGCGAAGGCGGCCUGCUGGACGAUGACUGACGUUGAGGCUCGAAAGCGUGGGGAGCAAACAGGAUUAGAUACCCCAGUAAU